GUGAGGAAUAUUGGACAAUGGGCGCAAGCCUGAUCCAGCCAUGCCGCGUGCAGGAAGACGCAUCUAUGGUGUGUAAACUGCUUUUGUACGGGAAGAAACACUCCCUCGUGAGGGAGCUUGACGGUACCGUAAGAAUAAGGAUCGGCUAACUCCGUGCCAGCAGCCGCGGUAAUACGGAGGAUCCAAGCGUUAUCCGGAAUAAUUGGGUUUAAAGGGUCCGUAGGCGGUUUAAUAAGUCAGUGGUGAAAGCCCAUCGCUCAACGAUGGAACGGCCAUUGAUACUGUUAGACUUGAAUUACAAGGAAGUAACUAGAAUAUGUAGUGUAGCGGUGAAAUGCUUAGAUAUUACAUGGAAUACCAAUUGCGAAGGCAGGUUACUACUUGUGGAUUGACGCUGAUGGACGAAAGCGUGGGGAGCGAACAGGAUUAGAAACCCGUGUAGUCC
RNAcentral lists this ribosomal RNA (445 nucleotides) under uncultured bacterium. Its description in RNAcentral is "partial 16S ribosomal RNA". It matches the Rfam family "Bacterial small subunit ribosomal RNA", at positions 354 to 796 of the family's 1533-position model. The record is from RNAcentral.